This 292-nucleotide ribosomal RNA is filed under the name uncultured bacterium. RNAcentral describes it as "partial 16S ribosomal RNA". It matches the Rfam family "Bacterial small subunit ribosomal RNA", at positions 505 to 796 of the family's 1533-position model. The record is from RNAcentral.
GUGUCAGCAGCCGCGGUAAUACGUAGGGACCGAGCGUUGUCCGGAUUUAUUGGGCGUAAAGAGCGCGUAGGCGGCUAUCCACGUCGGAUGUGAAAGCUCAGGGCUCAACCCUGAGAGGCCAUUCGAUACGGGAUAGCUAGAGGCAGCUAGGGGAAAGUGGAAUUCCUGGUGUAGCGGUGAAAUGCGCAGAUAUCAGGAGGAACACCGGUGGCGAAGGCGGCUUUCUGGGGCUGUCCUGACGCUGAGGCGCGAAAGCUGGGGGAGCGAACAGGAUUAGAUACCCGUGUAGUCC